AUUGAACGCUGGCGGCAUGCCUUACACAUGCAAGUCGAACGGUAACGGGCCUUCGGGUGCCGACGAGUGGCGAACGGGUGAGUAAUGCAUCGGAACGUACCUUUCAGUGGGGGAUAACGUAGCGAAAGUUACGCUAAUACCGCAUAUUCUGUGAGCAGGAAAGCAGGGGAUCGCAAGACCUUGCGCUGAUUGAGCGGCCGAUGUCAGAUUAGCUAGUUGGUGAGGUAAAGGCUCACCAAGGCGACGAUCUGUAGCGGGUCUGAGAGGACGAUCAGCCACACGGGAACUGAGACACGGUCCCGACUCCUACGGGGGGCGAGCAGUGAGGAAUAUUCGGCAAUGGGGGCGAACCCUGACCGAGCAACGCCGCGUGGAGGAUGACGGU
This 385-nucleotide ribosomal RNA is filed under the name uncultured bacterium. RNAcentral describes it as "bacterial SSU rRNA". It matches the Rfam family "Bacterial small subunit ribosomal RNA", at positions 30 to 415 of the family's 1533-position model. The record is from RNAcentral.